This is a long non-coding RNA of Alligator mississippiensis (American alligator), 3575 nucleotides long. RefSeq lists it as uncharacterized. The record is from RefSeq and is a predicted model, not a curated record. The transcript has 3 exons. Lineage: Eukaryota; Metazoa; Chordata; Crocodylia; Alligatoridae.
CUUUGCUUUUUGUUUUUUUAAUACUUGUACCAUAUUAUAUGCAUCUGCCUCAGUUCAUUACAUCUGUUUCUUUUGGCUUUCAGCCUUACUGAACUUGUUUUUCCUGCUGUGUUUCUGUAAACAACUCUCAGCAGCAAAGUCCAGCCUACAGCUGGAUCAAUCUGUUCCUUCAAAAGUAAGCCACCCGUCUAUAUCUGGAACGGCUAAGUAUUUGUCUGGAAACGUGCUGCAAGUGCUAGAAGCCAGGAUGUAAGGAGGUGUAGUUUUGUUUCUGACAGAUUUGUUGUGCAGCCUGGUGGGUAACGGCUAGAAAUAACUAAUGUCAGCUGUGAAUACUGGAGGAAAGGUCAAGAAUAUGAAGGUAAUGCAAGUGUGGACAGAUUUGACCCUCCCUGGGAACACAGGGAGACACUCCCCCACACUACCCACACAUGACCGACACGGCUACAACCUACACCCUGUAACAUGGAAGAUACUAAAUUCUGCCACUUGAAAUGGAAACUGUACAACAUGAAAAAGAAGCUAACUCAAGAGACAUAUAUUUUCUAAGCCUAUGCAAGAAACACAACUUUGUUCCCAGAGGAUUAAACAUCCACAAUCCUCUGAUUACUGCACACAACUCCAAAUAUGCUUCACUGCUAUGCAGGAAAACUUCAGAGAAAAUUAGAAAUCAUCUUCUUCACCUAAUCUACUCCAAAAGAGACCAGCUCAGAAAGGAAAUCACCACCUGCUACAACAACUUAAAAGAGAAAAAUCUAGAUAUCUUCCCUAAUAUUAUACAAUGGACACAAAGAGACUACAGAAAUUUUUCUACAACAGUCAUCCAACAUAAAAAGCAGAAAUGGAACAAAUUACUCCAGGAGCACCUUUCCCAGCCACAAAACAACCAUCAGAGGAGCAACACCAACACCUUACAACAUUCCAAUCUCAGAUUUGAUGAAAUUGAAAGCAGCAACCAACCCUCAAAUAUCAUCAAUCUCUCCACACACGCUUACCAAAACUGAAAAUUCUGUCCUUCCUAAAGGCCUAAAUUUCUGUCCAGAAAAAUACCCUAAUAAAGUACGUCAAUGUGGAGAACUAGAAGAAUUUGUCUGACGCCUCUGCCUCAAGGAAUAUUUCCACAACCAAAAUGAAUCCACUUUCAACAACAACUCAUCCUCUGACAACACUGAGGAAAAAAUCAACCGCGCAAAACCCCCCAAAAUUAGAUUGGACACCUCACAGUGGAUGAAAUUCUAACCUUGACUGCUACAAUGACUGCUUCAGGGAAAGAAUGAACAAUGAAAUAAUCAACAACACAUGCCACCAUAACAAUUUCUCCCCACCAGGGAGAAAGGCCAUAGAAUCUCUAAGAUCUAACCACCAAAUAGUAACAAAGCCAGCAGAUAAAGGAGGAGCCAUAGUCAUCCUUAACCAUGAAGGCUUCAUAAAGGAAGUCAGCAGACAACUCUCUGAAACCACCUACUACAAAGAACUACAAGAAGAUCCUAUUCUCCUUUUCACCUUGAAACUCAAAAAUACUAUCAAAUCAUUUCCAUCAGAACGACAAGAAAAACUACAGACCUUGAUCCCCCUACUACCUAAUUCAGGGACUUUUUACAUGCUCCCUAAAAUCCACAAACAAGAACCCUGGCAGACUUAUCAUAUCCAGCCAUGAAACUCUAACUGAGGAAAUAUCAGGUUUCAUUGAAUCAAUCCUAAAACUGCUUGUCACCCAAAGAACGAGUUUUGUCCAAGAUACUACAGAAAUUCUAUGGAAACUUAAAAACAUAGACCACCUUCCCAGCAACACCCUCCUAGCCACCAUGUACCAACAUCCCACACCAGGAUGGCAUCCAAGCCUGCCGUACAUACCUAUGAGAACAAGAUGACAACUCAGAAUACAGACCCAAAGAUAUUAUUCACUUUAUACGCUUCAUCCUCACACACAACAAUUUCACUUUUAAUAACCAACACUUCCUCCAGACCAUGGGCACAGCUAUGGGCACCAGAAUGGCCCCCCAGUAUGCCAACCUUUUUAUAAGCCACCUGGAAGAAGAAUUCCUCAAGGACCGUACCAUCAAACCCUUGCUAUACUUAAGAUAUAUUGAUGACAUAUCAUUUGAACUGAAAACCUGCAAUCUCUGAUUGAGUUUCAAGAAUCAUCAUCCCUCCAUCUGACUAUCUCUUGAAUAAUCCAGCACCAACAUCUCCUUUUUCGACAUGAUGAUCAGUAUCCAGAAUGGUAAAAUACAGACUACGUUAUACAAGAAACUCACAGACCAACACACAUAUAUGCACAGAACCAGCAAUCACCCUGAACACACCAGGGAAGCUGUGAUCUACAGUCAAGCCCUCAGAUACCACUGAAUUUGCACUGCGGAGAACACCCGGGAUUGCCACCUCACUAGUCUUAAAAAAAAACUUUUACUAUACAAGGACACUCCACCAGAGAAAUAGAUCACACGUUUGAAAGAGCAACCUGGAUACCACGUGAAGAAUUGCUGAAGUACAGAAGAAAGACCCCCAUGAAUUAAACACUGUUGGUUAUAACAUAUCACCCCUCCCUCAAACCCAUACAGAAAAUCCUCAAACAAUUGCAACUCAUACUAGAAGGAGACCCUAUUCUUAAAGAGAUCUUUCCAGAACCACCCAUGCUAGCCUUCAAACAAGCUCCAAACCUUGCUAACCUCAUCAUGAGGAGCAAAAUUCCUAUGGCCCAGAACACACCAAAUGGAUCCAGACCAUGCCAGGACAAGAAAUGCAAAACCUGCCAACACAUCUCCACCACCCCCACAAUUACUACACCCCACAACAGAACCAUCAGCAUUUCUGGAUUCUACAUCUGCACCUCCAGAAAUGUAAUAUAUUUCAUGCAAUGCACCAAAUACCAUGAUGGAAAAUAUGUAGGAGAGACCAAACAACAACUGAGCACUAGAAUGAAUGCACACCAGAAAUCUAUUAAAGACAAGAAUACCCAAUUACCUGUGGGGGUACAUUUCUCACAAGAAAACCACUCUCUCUCCAAUCUCUUAGUUCUAAUCCUCAAAGGGAAUUUACAAAACACUUUUCACAGACAAGCCUAUGAACUUCACUUCAUCACCACCACCCCCACUUCCAGCUUGUCUCUUACUCACUGACUCCUUAAUUUACAUCUCCCUGACUACCUUUCUUGCAUGCAUGCCAGCCUCUGGCUUAUUUACUAUUCCAUCCAGGAAGAGCACACACUAACUGCAGAUGCUUCCUCAGCCUGACAGAAGGUUUUUAAACCUGAAAAGGCUUGCUAAGAAUGUUUUUUCCAACUAUUUAAGUUGGUCUAAUAAAAGAGAUCAGAUUCACCCAAAGAACCUUGUCUGCAUUAAAAUGCAUGGAAUCAAUUUGUGGCUUUCACUCUAGUCAACCUUGACUAUUACAGUACUUGUUAUAAGCAGCUUUCACUGCUUGUUAUUUUUAUUAUUAUAUUUAUGUAAACUUUUCAAGCAGAUGUUGCAAACCAAAGGAGUAAACACAGGAGAGGGUGAAGGUGACACCGAAACAUCACGUUGAUAGACGAGUCAUGUAUAAUGGUUACAGGUCAUGGAAGAAUUUAUUUUGGA